Molecule: long non-coding RNA, 4253 nt
Organism: Lycium barbarum (goji berry)
Lineage: Eukaryota; Viridiplantae; Streptophyta; Magnoliopsida; Solanales; Solanaceae
Exons: 2
Source: RefSeq, a predicted model, not a curated record
UUCCAUUCUCAACCACUUCGUUUUACUACUGCCGCAUCAAUUAUUUCCCAUGUAGAUUUCAUGAUCACUUUUCAUUCGACUCUCGUAUGUUUUGAAUAAAAAAAGUAAACUCACAAGCACUUUGAAGAUUUUCAUGAGUUUUUGAUAAAAUUGUUCGAGGAUUUCAACGGUUAUCGAUUUUGAAAUCUGCCUUUUCGCUUUAUAUCCACUUCUGCAGAAUACUUUCCCUCUCUUAAGGUGUGGUUACUGAUAUUACACAUGUUGCACCCUCUUCUUUUCCUGACCAGUAAUAGCAAAUGUCGAACCAUGCUCUCCUUCAAACAUUUAUUGGACCAAUCCUUUUCCGUCUGAUUUGUUAUGAUUGAAUUUAUCAUUUUCUUCCUCUGAAAAUUUGCCAUUUUAACUGAUUUAUUACAACCAACCCUUUCCUUUAUUGUUUCCUCUGUCUUAUUUUCCCCUUUAUUUGACUUAUUUUAUGCAGCCCAAAAAGCGUGUCUUCUGAUGUCCAUAACCCCAUCAUCGCACCUCUUUAAAUGUGUUUCAUCUACUUCUUAACUUCUAUUGUCCUUAAUCCCUCUAGGGUAUUUCAUUUCGGAGAGUAAUUUCUAUUAUGCAUAUGCCCCUGACUUGGAGGUUCUACAUUUCUUGGUACAGUCUUGCAGUGAUUUUGAUUUGGACUUCAAAUAAUAUAUGCCAAUUGAUUGUGUUCGCAACUAUGUAACUAUAUUUCUGACAGCUCCUAACUUCUUAAAAAAAAUAGGUUAAUUUAGAGCAUUUAAGAGUGAGGAUUGAAAAGAGGUUCCUUUUUUGUUGGCGGCAAAACUAUGAAUGUAUCAUAUUUGUGAGCUCCAUUGUGAUACAUUUAGAUUUAGAGGAUUUUACGAUUUUAGGUACGCUUCGAAGAUUUACAACUACUAUUUUAUUUUCGGUUACUUUGUGGCGUUCCAGAAGAUUUCUUUGAUAUCAUUACUAAGAAGAACAUAAUCAUUUUGACAUGGCAUGGAUCAAUGUCAAAUAGUGAAUGUAUUUGAAGUGCUUAAUAACUAUAGGCGCAUAUUUAUUGUGGCGAAAUUAUAUAAUCUAAGAAAAAUGUCUCUAUUGAUCCCCGACUGAUUUGAUUCUUACUUUGGCCCUUUAAGGCUUUAUGAUGUUGCAUCAGUUAUCGGUGAACAUUUUCAUUUGUAGUUGAUUCGGGAAUUUACGUAGACUUUGGUGGUGUCAUUACUUUGAUGGCAUACUAUGAUCGGGAAGAUAGCUUUGCGCAGUAAGCUAUAAAGUUUCUUCAAGAAAUGGCUUUUUCUUUUAUUAACACGGAUGUUUUUAGCCGGCUAUCGUUCUCAAAAUUUCUACUGCUCCAUCAGAUUCCCACUUUGAAAGACCAUUGCAUUUUCAAGUUCUGAAAAUUUAUUUGGAAAGUGAUGUUAUUGUGGGAGGCAUUUUGUUUAAUGGGAAAAGGGCCAAAUAUACCCAUCUGCUUUAGUUUAAUAGUUAAAUAUACCCUCCGUUAGUCAAAGUAAAUAUAUAUAUCCCUUCCGUUAGUCAAAGUAGAUAAAUAUACCCCUUCCGUUAAGAAAGUACACAAAUAUACCCUUCAGUCGAUAGAAUCCCCAAUUCUACCAUUAAUUACCUAAUUUAACUUUAAAAAAAGUCAUGCCCGACUUGCCCCGACCCGCAAAUUAAAUUUUUUCCACCCAAAUAUACCCACCACCACUAUAACCGACCCAACACAACGACCACCACCACUUUUACCACCACAACUUGUAAAUUCUUCAUAACCAUCCUUAACCACAACCCCAAUUGUUUUGUGCCUAAAACUUCAAGAGAUUGUUGAUUUUUAGUUUUUAAUUUUAGAUUGGAGGACCGUUGCUUACAAAGGAGGCUUGUGGCAGGGAUUUUCUAGCCUUUUUUAGCCUAAAGCUUUCAUUUUUAUUGAUUUUAAUAUUGCUAGCUACCUGGAUAUGUGAUACAGUGAUACUUGAAGAAAUUUAUCUCAGUUUGCUCCAAGCAAAGCUUUCUGUUAGAUACCUAAAUAUUUUAUAAAGUGUGAAAUAUUAUAAUAAUCAUAUUUGACUGGUGACAAUCAUGCUUUCUCUGGUAUUUUGCAUAUGAUAUUCAAUACUGUAUUAAGGAUUUAAUGUAUUUACUGAGAUCGAAUGAUCUUUUUUGUUUUGUUCAGUGAUGUCCGAGGACAUGGUUAAGGAUGGUUAUAAAGAAUUUACUGGUUGUGGUGGUGAUGGUUGUGUUGGGUCGGUUGUAGUGGUGGUAGGUAUAUUUGGGUGGAAAGAAUUUAAUUUGCGGGUGGGGGCGGGUCGAGCAUGGUUUUUUUAAAGUUAAAUCGGAUAAUUAAUGAUGGAAUUGGAGAUUCUGUCAACUGAGGGGUAUAUUUGUGUACUUUCUUAACGAAAGGGGUAUAUUUAUCUACUUUGUCUAACGGAGGAUAUAUUUAACUAUUAAACUAAAGUAGAGGGGUAUAUUUGACCAUUUUCCCUUGUUUAAUUGAUUUCUGUUCAUUGAGUUUUGUCUUUAAAUGUGAUUAUAGUUAAGUGUAAAUUUGGUUAAUGAUGUAUUAUCAAAAUGUUUAAAUUUUGAAAUUCUGGAUUUUAUUUUCAUUGUGUUGUUUAUAUGUCCAAUCUUUUCAGUAAUGGGAGCAAAAGAUCACGACUCAUUACUUUGUACGGAAAAGGGCCAAAUAUACCCUUGUAAUAUCGAAAAAGGUUCAAAUAUACCCCUCCAAUUUUGGGUUCAAAUAUACCCCUGUCAUUAUACUUUCGGUCCAAAUAUACUCCUUCUCCGUUAAAAAUGUCCAACAUGAACAUCAGGCCUGACGUGACAUUAACAAUACGGUGAGGUGAACACCACGUGUCGUGCCAGCUCACCACCCCAACCCUUAGUCUUUACAUCUCGGAGAAAACUUACUCGAGAGCUUUUAAAGUGACGAAUCAGAGAUAAUUAGAAGAUUACCUCGAUCUAUCUCUCCUCUCUUCAAUUCAUACUAGAAUGAACAAGUCUCUGAAGACACAUACUAGAACGAUGAAAAUGAAUAGCGAAUUCGAGGAAUUUGUGUGGCCUGCCGGAGAUCAUGAUUCAGAGGUGUUCUCAGAAAGUAGCAAAAGAAAUGAUGAAUCAAUUGUUGAUCUCAAAAACGAUUUUCUCGUUGCCGCAACACGAAUUUACAAUACCAUCCGUGAAAUUGAGCAAACCCAACAAGGUGGUCGUCGUGGUUGUUGAUUUCUCGUUGAUCAGCUGAUCAACAUCUUGUUAAUCCUCAGCAAGAAACUCUGAUUACAUAUUCCUCCAUGAUCGAAUCUUUCAACUUUGUUAACCCAAGAAACUCUCGCUCCGAGAAAUUCUUCUUGAAUGACCUGAUUAUCAUCCAGAUAUAGGAUGAUAUCAGUAGAUUUCUUACCAGAAAACAAACUGGUUAAAUUUGAAUCUUCUAUUGACGGCAAAUGAGUUGGGUGGUGAGGUGGCAUGCCACGUGGUGUCCACCUCACCGUUGUUAGUGCCACAUCAAGCCUGGUGUCCAUGUUGGACAUUUUAACGGAAGAGGGAUAUAUUUGGACCGAAAGUAUAUCGGCAGGGGUAUAUUUGAACCCAAAGUAUAACGAGGGGUAUAUUUGGCCCUUUUCCGAUGGUACAGGGGUAUAUUUGACCCUUUGCCAUACUUUGUAAUGUAUUCCAUCUCCCUUUUUCUCUAAGCCUUGUGAAUACAAUUCCAAGUAAUGUUUUAUGCCUUCAAUGGGCAGGAGUUGAGACUCUAAAAGGUGAGGUUCAUAGCUUUGUUGGACGUAGAGAGUAGAAAGAUUUGUAUGGAACUUUCUUGAAUAUUUAUCUUCAAAUGCUGAAACGAGCUUGAAUGGUGAUGGACAAAGCAGAUGCAGAGUCAGAGAGAAGAAGCAAGUUCUGCAAAUGUUUGAUAUAGAAGAAGAAGUCAGUAGAGGACAAAGCAUUUGAAUGUGCACCUGAGAGCCCUAAGAUAUGCCAUUUUCUCUGCAAAAUUCUACUUCAAAGUGUGCAAGAGACAAUCUUGAUGCAAUUUUACUCAAUAUAUGGACUGGCUUCGCAUUGUAUUGCGGGAACUAGCUUUGGUUCAUGUGUGAAAGAUUCCACAGGAGUUUCCUUGGACUUCUCAAUUGAUAAGGUGCUUGUUCUUCUACUCAGGACUUUUGUUCAACCUUUAGAUCAUUGACAGUACAUUGUUGAACUCUACUUUGUAAUUUAUGAAAAAUUAAUUUGUGAGCGAUUUUAGUUUG